RNAcentral lists this ribosomal RNA (274 nucleotides) under uncultured bacterium. RNAcentral describes it as "partial 16S ribosomal RNA". It matches the Rfam family "Bacterial small subunit ribosomal RNA", at positions 523 to 796 of the family's 1533-position model. The record is from RNAcentral.
AUACGUAGGUCCCGAACGUUGCGCGAAAUUACUGGGCGUAAAGGGUCCGUAGGCGGUCUGGUAAGUGGAAGGUGAAAGCCUGGGGCUCAACUCCAGAAUUGCCUUCCAAACUGCCGGACUUGGGGCAGGGAGAGGUCGGCGGAAUUCCUGGUGCAGCGGUGAAAUGCGUAGAUAUCGGGAGGAACACCAGUGGCGAAGGCGGCCGACUGGAACUGUCCUGACGCUGAGGGACGAAAGCCAGGGGAGCGAACCGGAUUAGAAACCCUAGUAGUCC